Molecule: ribosomal RNA, 596 nt
Filed under: Geopora sp.
Lineage: Eukaryota; Fungi; Ascomycota; Pezizomycetes; Pezizales; Pyronemataceae
Description: partial large subunit ribosomal RNA
Rfam family: Eukaryotic large subunit ribosomal RNA
Source: RNAcentral
AGUAACUGCGAGUGAAGCGGCAAAAGCUCAAAUUUGAAAUCGGUGUCCAUAAAGUACAUCGAGUUGUAAUUUGGAGGGACAACUUCGGGCCGAACCACACCGUAAGUUUUUUGGAACAGGACAUCAUAGAGGGUGAGAAUCCCGUGUCUUGGUGUAGGGUCAAAUGUGAAGUGUCUCCGACGAGUCGAGUUGUUUGGGAAUGCAGCUCAAAAUGGGUGGUAAAUUUCAUCUAAAGCUAAAUAUUGGCGAGAGACCGAUAGCGCACAAGUAGAGUGAUCGAAAGAUGAAAAGCACUUUGAAAAGAGAGUUAAAAAGUACGUGAAAUUGUUGAAAGGGAAGCGCUUGCGACCAGACUCGAUCUUUGGAGAUCAGCCGGGCUUCGGUUCGGUGCCCUCUUCAUUGAUUGGGCCAGCAUCGGUUCCGACGGUGGGAUAAAAGGAGGAGGAAUGUGGCUCCCCUCGGGGAGUGUUAUAGCCAUCUUCACAAUGCUACCAGUUGGGACCGAGGACCGCGCUUCGGCUAGGAUGCUGGUGUAAUGGUCUUAAGCGACCCGUCUUGAAACACGGACCAAGGAGUCUAACAUCUAUGCGAGUGUU